Molecule: long non-coding RNA, 2459 nt
Organism: Equus caballus (horse)
Lineage: Eukaryota; Metazoa; Chordata; Mammalia; Perissodactyla; Equidae
Source: RefSeq, a predicted model, not a curated record
GGGAAGAGGAAAAGUUUUCCCUCCCUAGAUGAACUAUGGAUGGGAGAAUUAUAUUGGGGUGAAGAGCCCCACCUGCUGGGACCCAGGCAUCCAAAUGGACAGGCAAGGUCUACAGUGACCACAGGAUCUACAAGGAAUGAUUCCAGGAAGUUGGAUCAAUAAAGCUGAUAUCAAGGAACACGAGUCUUGAUGCUGUGACUGAUCGUUGGGGCAAGGACACACCUGGAAGUUCUUUUCCUUACUUUGAUGGAGGAAUUAUUGAACAUCUACCCUGGGCUGGACACCGUGCCAGGUGCCGACAUGGAGAAAAGGACUAGCCACUGGCCCUGCUCUCUUGGAGCUGACCUGGUGGGGGACACAGGAGAUCAACAAGCAAGAAGUGCACAGCACACGUGAGAUUUUCAGAGAGCGACGCGAUGUGGCCCACAAGGAAAAUGAGCAGUGAGAUAUGGUGAAGUGUGAUGGGGCCGGGGAGCCUAUGUGAGACAGGCUGGUCAAGGAGAGCUUCCUGGAGGAGGAGGCACAAACUGAGGCCUGAAGGAUGAGAAGGAGUUAAGCACAAGAGUGUCUGGGGACGGGCUUGUGCCAGGCCAAGGGGCUUAACACCCAUCGGGAAAGUCUCUGAAGGAAAAGGGUUAGGGUGUGCAAGGGGUCCCAGGGGACAAUGCAAUGCAUACAUGAUCCUUAGCAGAUCCUGGAUUUAGAAAAACAGCUCAGGAGGACAUCAUUUGGGCAAUUGGCAAAGUCCAACUAUGGAUACAUAUGGAUAAGAGUGCUGUGUCCAUGUUAAAUCACCCGAAAAUGAGCCCCGGCUUUUCAGAGAUACCACCAAAGUCCUGGGAGGCAAAGGGCCUUGAUGUCUGCAACUAACUCGCAAAUGGUUCCUAAAUUACUUACACCCACGUGCGCAGACACACACAUACACACAGAAAGAUAAAAGCAAGUGUGACCACAACGUUAACCGUUGGUGAAGUCAAGUAGAAAGCAUAUGGGCAUUCAUCAUAUUGUGCUUGCAAUGUUUCUGUAGGUUGAAAUUCUUCAAAACAAAAAGUUGAGAGAUGAAACAUUGGAUCAUGGGCUCAGCAUCUACGCUGGGUCGGGUAAGACAACCCUCUAGAAAUCCCGACCCAGCUGAAGUCUGCAGAGCGGGUAGAGCUCCCGGGUUAAGGGCACAGGGAGGAACACUGGCAAGAGGCAGGUGGUUCAGGAUGGCCUGGGGUUUGGGGGGCCUGCAGGGGUCCGCAGGAGCUGGACCACGUACACAGAGUGGGGAGUACCUGCCGUGCCACCUGCUCCUCUGCCGUGUGGCCUCGCCUCGCUCCCCCCUCUAGGGUGGGGUCUCUCCCCAUCCCUGUGACUCUGGGAGCAGUCCGUGACUGCUUCGGCCAACAGAAUACAGUGAAAGCGAUGCUAUGCCGGCUCUCGGAGCUGGCUGUCACAUAAGAAGUGCCCCUCGCCCUGAGAGCACCAGGCUGCAGGAGGCCCAGGCCACAAGGCCCUGGAGAACAAGAUGCCACACGGAGAGAGAGGCCAGGGAGCACCAAGGCGAGCGAGGAAGCCAUCGUUGAAGCAGAGCCUGGGUUUUAAACGCCCCAGCUGAAGCCACGCGGAGCAGAGGAGCAGCCCUGCAGAACCCUACCCACAUUCCUGACCCGCAAGACUGGGAGCAAAGUAAAAGUUCUUUUAAGCCACUAAGUUACGGGCUUGUUUAUGAGGCAGCAACAGCACCUGGGACCCUAUUAGAGACCGGUAGUCUGUGUUAAGAAGUUUGGUCGUUGUCUUGGGAGUAGUGGGGAGCCAUUGAAGGUUUCAGUCCAGAUGGGUGACGGGACAAGAUUGAGGAGAUGACUCUGCUUGCCAGGUAGAAAAUAGGCUGGUGAAGGGGGUGGGAGUGGGAGUGGGGGAAACCAGGGUGACUAAUUACAAGUCUAUUGCAAUGGUCGGGGCAAGAUGACAGCAGCUGGGACUGGGGUCAUGGAAGCGAUGUCCAGGGGCAGGGGGACUGAAGAAUAAAUACUGUUCAGGGAACCUUCAAUGCAUGUAACAGGCCCAGGCCCGAGGGUCCAGUUAUUCUGCCCUGAGGCCACUAAGGAGGGCCGAAUAAAAGCACCCACCCUUCUUCCUGCAAGAAAAAUAACACGGCAGAAGAGAACGUAGAACAACCGUAAAAGAAAUCACUGGAAUCCUUUCUCUUCUUUGGGGAAUAUCUGAUUUUAAGAAAUAAAUAAAAGAGAAACUUUUUUCUGACCAAACCAUACCAAAUUGUUUUGGUCUAUAAUCGAGAUGUUAACUGAAUAUAGAAAUGUAGACAGCCCAGGUCAAUAGCCAAAUGAUGAGGGUGCUGGAAUGUUUGCCUGUGACGGCCUCCGUUCAAUGUCACAAAUUUUGUCCUUAAAAGACCUGAACGGGGGGCCGGCUCCGUGGCCGAGUGGUUAAGUUCGCGCGCUCCGCUGCAGCGG